RNAcentral lists this transfer RNA (86 nucleotides) under Candidatus Moraniibacteriota bacterium. Its description in RNAcentral is "tRNA-Leu". It matches the Rfam family "tRNA". From Rfam's summary of the family: Transfer RNA (tRNA) molecules are approximately 80 nucleotides in length. Their secondary structure includes four short double-helical elements and three loops (D, anti-codon, and T loops). Further hydrogen bonds mediate the characteristic L-shaped molecular structure. tRNAs have two regions of fundamental functional importance: the anti-codon, which is responsible for specific mRNA codon recognition, and the 3' end, to which the tRNAs corresponding amino acid is attached (by aminoacyl-tRNA synthetases). tRNAs cope with the degeneracy of the genetic code in two manners: having more than one tRNA (with a specific anti-codon) for a particular amino acid; and 'wobble' base-pairing, i.e. permitting non-standard base-pairing at the 3rd anti-codon position. Lineage: Bacteria; Candidatus Moraniibacteriota. The record is from RNAcentral.
GGGCGAGUGGCGGAAUUGGUAGACGCGGCGGACUUAAAAUUCGCUGUCCCUCACCGGACUUGAGGGUUCGAGUCCCUCCUUGCCCA